This 463-nucleotide unclassified non-coding RNA is filed under the name Bombus terrestris (buff-tailed bumblebee). Its description in RNAcentral is "misc RNA ENSBTSG00005024540.1". The record is from RNAcentral. Lineage: Eukaryota; Metazoa; Arthropoda; Insecta; Hymenoptera; Apidae.
CGACAUAUUAAAGUCAUACACUAUCGUCGAGCAUCGUUAGUCCUCUAUUUGAACACGGAGAUUCGCGCUGAAUACGAUCGCGGGGAAAUUAAACGGAAACGUGUGACACGUCGGACUAGACUAGACAAUGGAGUAGCGAAAAAAUUGGGGACUGUAGAGGAAAAACACCAAAAGUCACAUUUCUUCUUUUUACAGAAAAGCAGUUUUAAGAUUUGCCAUGUUGUCAAUUUAUUUCAUAUUACCAAAAUUGCCUUUGUAUUUGGUUUUCAGACUAAACUUUUUCCCGUCAUGACGUUAUUGUUUUCAUUUAACGGUAAUAUAAACAUUACUUAUUAUAUUUUAUCAUCAAAAUGUUUAUCUUCCACGAAACAGUAUUCCACAAUUCAAUUUAUCAGCUAUCUUCAAGAAUAAUGUACAUCUCAGGACCUAUCUAUUCUUUUCAAUUAUAUUAUAUUAAAAUCUU